AACACAUGCAAGUCGAACGAUGAACACCGGAGCUUGCUCUGGUGGGAUUAGUGGCGAACGGGUGAGUAACACGUGAGCAAUCUGCCCCCGACUCUGGGAUAACCCCGAGAAAUCGGAGCUAAUACCGGAUACGACACCUCCUGGCAUCAGGUGGGUGUGGAAAGAAUUUCGGUUGGGGAUGAGCUCGCGGCCUAUCAGCUUGUUGGUGAGGUAAUGGCUCACCAAGGCGACGACGGGUAGCCGGCCUGAGAGGGUGACCGGCCACACUGGGACUGAGACACGGCCCAGACUCCUACGGGAGGCAGCAGUGGGGAAUAUUGCACAAUGGGCGCAAGCCUGAUGCAGCAACGCCGCGUGGGGGACGACGGCCUUCGGGUUGUAAACCUCUUUUGGCAGGGAAGAAGCGAAAGUGACGGUACCUGCAGAAAAAGCACCGGCUAACUACGUGCCAGCAGCCGCGGUAAUACGUAGGGUGCAAGCGUUGUCCGGAAUUAUUGGGCGUAAAGAGCUCGUAGGCGGUGUGUCACGUCUGCUGUGAAAAUCCAAGGCUCAACCUUGGACUUGCAGUGGGUACGGGCACACUCGAGUGCGGUAGGGGAGAUUGGAAUUCCUGGUGUAGCGGUGGAAUGCGCAGAUAUCAGGAGGAACACCGAUGGCGAAGGCAGAUCUCUGGGCCGUAACUGACGCUGAGGAGCGAAAGCGUGGGGAGCGAACAGGAUUAGAUACCCUGGUAGUCCACGCCGUAAACGGUGGGAACUAGAUGUGGGGUCCGUUCCACGGAUUCCGUGUCGCAGCUAACGCAUUAAGUUCCCCGCCUGGGGAGUACGGCCGCAAGGCUAAAACUCAAAGGAAUUGACGGGGGAAU
RNAcentral lists this ribosomal RNA (865 nucleotides) under uncultured bacterium. Its description in RNAcentral is "bacterial SSU rRNA". It matches the Rfam family "Bacterial small subunit ribosomal RNA", at positions 50 to 922 of the family's 1533-position model. The record is from RNAcentral.